GCCGAAUUAGCUUAAUUGGUAAAGCAUACGUUUUGUAAACGUAAAAAUAAGUGUUCGAGUCAUUUAUUCGGCA
RNAcentral lists this transfer RNA (73 nucleotides) under Microconidiobolus nodosus. Its description in RNAcentral is "Conidiobolus nodosus tRNA-Thr". It matches the Rfam family "tRNA". Rfam says of the family: Transfer RNA (tRNA) molecules are approximately 80 nucleotides in length. The record is from RNAcentral. Lineage: Eukaryota; Fungi; Entomophthoromycota; Entomophthoromycetes; Entomophthorales; Conidiobolaceae.